This 429-nucleotide ribosomal RNA is filed under the name Chloroflexota bacterium. Its description in RNAcentral is "Chloroflexi bacterium partial 16S ribosomal RNA". It matches the Rfam family "Bacterial small subunit ribosomal RNA", at positions 355 to 776 of the family's 1533-position model. Lineage: Bacteria; Bacillati; Chloroflexota. The record is from RNAcentral.
UGGGGAAUAUUGCACAAUGGGCGCAAGCCUGAUGCAGCCAUGCCGCGUGUAUAAAGAAGGCCUUCGGGUUGUAAAGUACUUUCAGCGGGGAGGAAGGGAGUAAAGUUAAUACCUUUACUCAUUGACGUUACCCGCAGAAGAAGCACCGGCUAACUCCGUGCCAGCAGCCGCGGUAAUACGGAGGGUGCAAGCAUUAAUCGGAAUUACUGGGCGUAAAGCGCACGCAGGCGGUUUGUUAAGUCAGAUGUGAAAUCCCCGGGCUCAACCUGGGAACUGCAUCUGAUACUGGCAAGCUUGAGUCUCGUAGAGGGGGGUAGAAUUCCAGGUGUAGCGGUGAAAUGCGUAGAGAUCUGGAGGAAUACCGGUGGCGAAGGCGGCCCCCUGGACGAAGACUGACGCUCAGGUGCGAAAGCGUGGGGAGCAAACAGG